UUCCACAAGAUUAUACACACAGCGAAUACCAGGCAUCACUGUGGAUUUCUCUCACUUGUUUUGAUGUGACCAUUCCUCCAAAAACACUUGGUUCUAAGACACUAUACCAAAUUCAGAGAUUAGCAACUGGAAGUCGCAACAGUCGCAUCACUGUGGAUUUCUCUCACUUGUUUUGAAAUCUGACUCGGCUAUUUCUCAUCUUAUCGACCAGAGUCACUAGACCUCUCAUUCUCUAUCUUAUUCUCCUCUCUCUUUCUCUCUCUUUAUCUCAGUUUCUAAGGAGUUUGUUGACGAAUCAUUCAAAUAAAAACUACAGAAAUUGAAAGUUAGGGUUCGAGGUGAUGUUGUGAGAUGAAUCGCGGUUUUGCUGCAAGAAUCAAAAGUUGUCGUGUGUACGAGUUGAAAGUUAGGGUUUGAGAUUGAAAGUUAUGGUGGAAAAGAUAGAAAUUAAAAAUUAUGGUUUGAGGUGAUAUUCUGAGAUGAAUCGGGGUUUUGCUGCAAGAAUUGAGAUUAAAUGGGUUUGCAGAGAAUGAUGUUGGUGGUUGGAUUUGUGGAGUUUCAAUGUUAGGGUUUGAGAUUUGAAAGUUAGGGUUUGAGAUUUGUGGAUUUUGAAAGUUAGGGUUGGAUUUGAGAUUGAAAGAUAGGGUUUAAGAUUUGUGGAGAUGGCUGGCAUUUGUAGAACAAUGGUUUGCAGGGAUUGUGUUGUAAGACAGUUGAGUGUUGGAAAUGGUUGGCUCAUAGACAGCUAGGAAAUGGGUGUUGGGUUACUGUGGCUGUGAAGUUGGGUUUGAAGUAGACUUGCAUUUGUCAGAGUUAAGGUCAAGUGAUGCAGAGAUGGUGUUGAGUAUCAGAGCAGGUGUCAGUGGUGGAUACUGGUGGUCAGUGGUCGGAGGUAUCAACACUUAAAUCAGGUAAUUCAGAUAGCCACAUUUGCGGCAUUUUCUUAUAAUCCAUUCAUUGGUUCUGCAACAACAGAGGAGAAGGACACUUUUCGGGUUUAUUCAGAUGAAACAAAUAAAUACAUCAUUAUGGUCCCUGAAGGUGAGAGUUAUUUGCAAACCAGUAGUAACAAAGUGAGUAUCAUCCCGCGAGGCCGUAUGGAGGAGGUAGACACUUAAGAAACUCCAAUUUGGCUUAAGGGGAUUCGUAGUGGUUACCCAUGAGGAGAAAACAUCGGAAACAAUUGGUAACUAUAAAAAUUAGUACUAAUCCCACACUUGUGUUUGUGCAGAUUGGAAAAGUGAUCAAUGAGAGGGCAAUGGACUCCUAGCUUUAACUGGAUUUUACCCACAAGUUGCUUCUGAAUCCAAUGUUAGUGUUUUUAUCACCUUGCUUGGUGCUGACUUCACGAGAAUGGAAUAUUUCAGCAAAGUUGAAGAGUUUGCGGAGACUCUGGUUAGUUGACUAGAUAGAAGUUGGCAAAGGCCUCCAGGUGCAGCCGCAAAACUUAUCGCUUGCAAAAUUCUCAAAUGGGUUUGAUAUCGAACAUACACCAUAAAAACCAAGUGAGAGUUGCAGACACAUAUUUUCCAAGAUCGGCAUGGCUUACAACGGCUAUUACAAAGAUUGUUUACUGUAACAUGGCAGUUUAUGGAAGAAGAAACAGGCAAAUACAGUUCAAAUGUUCAGAAGACCGUAUCAUCCUUCAAGUUUACUUGAUUAACAUGGCGAGGUUUUUUAAUGUACAGAAGCAGAGCUGAAUUUAAUAGUUCAAGUUCGACUGGAGAAGUUUGUGGCACUGGUUGCUUUGGGAUUAAAAUCAGGUGGCACUCUUCAACAGCGUGCAGAGAGGCUUUUCCUGAUCAAUGGUGCAAGAGAAAUUGGUGCACCUAAAGAAAGCUAAGGAUAAACUUGAAAAAUGAGUGGUCUCUCAUGCUUGAUGCUGGAGACUAGGCAGGAAUUUUAACGAAUCUCCUUGGCAAAGUUCAAGGUUCUUCUCUAUGUUCAUCAUUUUAUUUUAUCUGAAAUACAAAGAAUACACUUGUCGUUCUUUUGAUACUACAGACUUUGUAUAUCAUUAGGACUUAAGAAAUGUUUUAGAUAUACUUUGAGAUGUGUUUAUUACUUUGUGUGUGUAUGGAGUUCAUCAUGGUAUGUUAUGGUGGUGAAUUAACUCUAAGAAAGAAUACUUUUUUGAUAGUUUUGUUGGAUUAAUUUUAUUUCCAAAUUUGUAUGUC
This is a long non-coding RNA of Papaver somniferum (opium poppy), 2177 nucleotides long. RefSeq lists it as uncharacterized. The record is from RefSeq and is a predicted model, not a curated record. The transcript has 9 exons. Lineage: Eukaryota; Viridiplantae; Streptophyta; Magnoliopsida; Ranunculales; Papaveraceae.